RNAcentral lists this non-coding RNA (129 nucleotides) under chicken gut metagenome. RNAcentral describes it as "glmS glucosamine-6-phosphate activated ribozyme". It matches the Rfam family "glmS glucosamine-6-phosphate activated ribozyme aptamer", at positions 9 to 151 of the family's 167-position model. From Rfam's summary of the family: This entry contains a glucosamine-6-phosphate activated ribozyme that is found in the mRNA for GlmS. GlmS is an enzyme that uses fructose-6-phosphate and glutamine to generate glucosamine-6-phosphate. The record is from RNAcentral.
AGAAGCGCCAGCACCCGCCCCAGGGCGGGAUGACGAGGAGAGGGGAGUAUCGAAGAUUCGGCGGAUGCCCCUCCGCCCAUCCGGGUGCGUACCCGGCCUACAAAGACACGGGUGACCGUGCAACAAAAG